AUUGAACGCUGGCGGCAGGCCUAACACAUGCAAGUCGAGCGGAUGAAGGGAGCUUGCUCCUGGAUUCAGCGGCGGACGGGUCAGUAAUGCCUAGGAAUCUGCCUGGUAGUGGGGGAUAACGUCCGGAAGCGGGCGCUAAUACCGCAUACGUCCUGAGGGAGAAAGUGGGGGAUCUUCGGACCUUCCGCUAUCAGAUGAGCCUAGGUCGGAUUAGCUAGUUGGUGGGGUAAAGGCCUACCAAGGCGACGAUCCGUAACUGGUCUGAGAGGAUGAUCAGUCACACUGGAACUGAGACACGGUCCAGACUCCUACGGGAGGCAGCAGUGGGGAAUAUUGGACAAUGGGCGAAAGCCUGAUCCAGCCAUGCCGCGUGUGUGAAGAAGGUCUUCGGAUUGUAAAGCACUUUAAGUGGGGAGGAAGAGCAGUAAGUUAAUACCUUGCUGUUUUGACGUUACCAACAGAAUAAGCACCGGCUAACUUCGUG
This 484-nucleotide ribosomal RNA is filed under the name uncultured bacterium. RNAcentral's name for it is "partial 16S ribosomal RNA". It matches the Rfam family "Bacterial small subunit ribosomal RNA", at positions 30 to 507 of the family's 1533-position model. The record is from RNAcentral.